GUGAACGCUCAUUGGAUUUUCGGCGAAGUCUCUGGUUUGCGUCAGUAGCCAUUAUCGGAUUGCUGCCUUGACACAUUACCCAAAAAGUGAGCUCUUCCAGUUUCAACAUAUCAUCUCUUCAUGAAUCUUUCCAGGAACCCAACAUUUUUUCAUUUUCUGGCACUGUAUCACCAUACCAGCACCUUUUUUGCAUACCAGUAAUGCACAGGCAUUUCUUUGCAGCCUUUAAUAUGACCCACUUGACCAGUGAUGC
Polypterus senegalus (gray bichir) is the source of this 253-nucleotide long non-coding RNA. RefSeq lists it as uncharacterized. The record is from RefSeq and is a predicted model, not a curated record. Lineage: Eukaryota; Metazoa; Chordata; Cladistia; Polypteriformes; Polypteridae. The transcript is spliced from 3 exons.